CAGUCAUGCCGGCGGGAAUCAACUUAGGGGAAACUCUGAGUGCACUUCCUCGCUUGGCAGGUUAGCGUCGAUUUUGGAUGUCAUAAAAUGACUGGGGGAAGGUAGCUCUUUCGGGAGUGUUAAGCCCUUAGUAGAUGUGAUGUCCGGGAUCGAGGAUUGCAACGGAUACCUUUUGGGCUAACCGCCUAGUUUCUAAUAUGAAGUUGGGUUAUGGACAGCACGCUGACUGUGAUCUGAUUUUCGAUUAAAAGAUUAGAGCGAGUGUAAAUUCGUUAAGGAUGUUGACGUA
Molecule: ribosomal RNA, 289 nt
Filed under: uncultured Glomeromycotina
Lineage: Eukaryota; Fungi; Glomeromycota
Description: partial 25S rRNA
Source: RNAcentral